This is a long non-coding RNA of Dromaius novaehollandiae (emu), 9696 nucleotides long. RefSeq lists it as uncharacterized. NCBI's taxonomy places the organism in Eukaryota, Metazoa, Chordata, Aves, Casuariiformes, Dromaiidae. The transcript has 5 exons. The record is from RefSeq and is a predicted model, not a curated record.
CUCCUCCCCGCGGCCUCGCCCCGUCCCGCUGCCGGGCCCGGACUGCGCGCCGGCCCGGUGGUGGGUCUUUCCAGUGAGGGAAAGAAAACAUGUACAACUUGCCAUAAAGUCUGUGCUGCACACUUUUUGGAGAGCGAGAUUACUGCGACUGAAAGGCCAGCAGGAAUACACAUGAAAAAAGGGCGUAAAAGUCUGCCACAGAUCGCUUCAGGUUGUGUCUGAACUGUAGGACAGAUGCAUUUUGUGGUGCAACCCUCUGUCCUGAUCCUCUGAUAUCCCAAGCUGGGGACAUAUUGAGUUUAAUAGCAAGCAACUGGUGCUUGUCACCAGGUUUCUUGUUAUGGAAAUAAAAAGGAUAAAGUAUACAUCCCUAGUCCUGAUAUGAGGUCAGGAUAUGGUUGGGGCAUCUUCUGGGAAUAAAGAAUAUGUGGGUCCCGCAGUUCAGAUGCUGCCAUCACAAAAUCCCAGAAAACCCUCAACCCCUGAAUCUGAGAGCCCCUAGUCAUAAUGUACUGCUGUACACGCAUACCUGGUUUUAUUGUGCUUUGCUUUAUUGCACUUUGCAGACAUUGUGGUCUUUACAAAUUGAAGGCUUGUGGCAAUGCUGCAUUGAGCAAGUCUAUCGGUGCUGUUUUUCCAACAGCACGUGCUCACUACAUGUCUCUGUGUCACAUUUUGAUAAUUCUCGCUAUAUUUCAAACUUUUUCAUUAUUAUUAUAUCUUACGGUGAUCUGUGAUCAGUGGUCUUUGAUGUUACUAUUGUAAUUGUUUUGGAGUGCCACGAGCUGCACCCAUAAAAGACAGCAAACCUAAUUGAUAAAUGUUGUGUGUGUUCUGACUGCUGCACCGAUCGGCUGCUCCCCUGUCUUGCUCCCUCUCCUCGGGCCUCCCUAUUCCCUGAGACACAACAACAUUGAAAUUAGGCCAAUUAAUAACCCUACAAUGGCCUCUAAGUGUUCAGUCGCACGUGUCUCACUUGAAAUCAAAAGCUAGAAAUGACUAAGCUUAGUGAGGAAGGCACGUCGAAAGUCCAGACAGGCUGAAAGCUAGGCCCCUUGCGCCAAACAGUUAGCCAAGUUGUGGAUGCAAAGGAAAAGUUCUUGAAGGAAAUUAAAAGUGCUACUCCAAUGAACACAUGAAGGAGAAAAAAGCGAAACAGCCUUACUGCUGAUAUGGAGAAAGUUUUAGUGGUCUGGAUAGAAGACCAAAGCAGCCACGACAUUCCCUUAAGCCAAAGCCUAAUCCAGAGCAAGGCCCGAACUCUCUUCAGUUCUAUGAAGGCUGAGAGAGGUGAGGAAGCUGCAGAAGGAAAGUUUGAAGCUAGCGGAGGUUGCUUCAUGAGGUUUAAGGAAAGAAGCUGUCUCCAUAACAUAAAAGUGCAAGGUGAAGCAGCAGGUGCUGAUGUAGAAGCUGCAGCAAGUUAUCCAGAAGAUCUAGCUAAGAUAGUUGAGGAAGGUGGCUACACUAAAUGACAGAUUUAGAUGAAACAGCCUCAUAUUGGAAGAAGAUGCCAUCUAGGACUUUCAUAGCUAGAGAGGAGAAGUCAAUGCUUCUUAGGCAUGAGCAAAGAAAGUGGUUUCCUGAGAUGGAAUCUGCUCCUGGUGAAGAUGCUGUGAACAUUGUUGAAAUGACAGCAAAGGGUUUAGAAUAUUACAUAAACUUAGUUGAUAAGGCAGCGGCAGGGUUUGAGAGGACUGACUCCAAUUUUGAAAGAAAUUCUGUUGUGGGUAAAAUGCUAUCAAACAGCAUCGCAUGCUACAGAGAAAUCCUUCAUGAAAGGAAGAGUCAAUCAAUGCAGCAAGCUUCACUGCUGUCUUAUUUUAAGAAAUUGCCACAGCCACCCCUGCCUUCAGCAACCACCACCCUGAUCAGUCAGCAGCCAUCAACACUGAGGCAAGACCCUCCAUCAGCAAAAAGAUUACGACUCGCCGAAGGCUCAGAUGAUGGCUAGCAUCUUUUAGCAAUAAAGUAUUUUUAAAUUAUGUAGAUUGUUGUUUUUAGACAUAAUGCUAUUGCACACUUAAUAGACUACAGUAUAGUGUAAACAUAACUUUUAGAUGCACUGGGAAACCAAAAAAAUCAUGUGACUCACUUUGUUGCGAUAUUUGCUUUAUUGCGGUGGUCUGGAACCGAACCCACAAUAUCUCCAAGGUAUGCCUGUAUUUUCAUCCAUUCCUCCCUGUCUUUGCAAUGUGCACAUUGCAGUUUCAAUGUAUUCUAGAUGAACUCCUUUGAAGCCCUGAGUAACUAGCUGAGUGCUAAUUCAGUAUUUGGCCUGAUACUGGUACUAUGUGAAUCCACAAAUCCUAUGCUAAAGUAGAGUACUUUACCACCUUAGCUGUCUAUUCUUAUGGUGCUAGCACAAGCCUAGCAAGUAUUUCCUGGGCUUCCCAGCUCCUGGAACACGGAACACUAAGGUUUUGAUUUGUGCAAGGGGAGAAGGGAGAAUUGGUCUGGGUUUCUUAAAGUCUGUUCCUUUGUUGAUAGAGAGAGAAGUACAACAAUGUUACCCCUUACAAAAAAAAAAGAAAAAAGAACCAACAUAAAAAAUCGCAAUUUAAAUUUUCUACGUCAGUUUUUACCUUGGUUAAUCAGUUUCCAAUUUGCUUUACACUUCAGGUUAACUUCACUGGAAGCUGGAAUGAACAAAAAUCCUACUACUGUGCUACAGAAGUGCUGAAAUAGUAUAAGGAAGGCACAGUAUUACUCUAUGGUGUACCCAGAAACCAAGCUUCAUCCACCUGAGACACUGAAGUGGGACUGUUUGUAAUAAGCUCUGCAGAUAUUUCCCCAGAAAUGUUGCUGGGCCUUUCAGGCACUGGACUGUCUACCUCUGGGACUCCCUGUGUUGGGGAGCCCUGGUAUCUCAGUUAUCUAACCCUCUCCCAGGCACUCAAACACCACUCAGGCUUUACCCUUCCUGGGAUAUCCCUCUAGCUUAUCUAUGUAACAUUCAGGGGUUAGAUGAGAAGUGACAGUAAUUUUUGCUUGUUUCUGAUGCAUGUCACCUCUCAAAGCAAACUCUGCAGAUCUUUAUGAUAGGACGAUUUCCUCUUGUCUUACGUGCUGAUUACUAGCAAAAUUAAAUCGUGCUGACAUGUGAACCAUCAACAUGAGACAGCUAAGGCAAGCUGUGCUUUCAUGGAAGCUCGAGCCAACCUAAGAUCUAGGCACUGCAGUCCCACUCUUUUCACACUCAUGUGUGCCUGUUCUUUGCCUCCACCAGUUGCAGUGCCCAUUCGACCCUGUGCUGAACCUGUCCAGCCCACUGAGCCAGCAGAAACUGAACAGCACAGGGCCUAGCAAGCGUUGGAGCAUGAGACCUGGGAAUGGUGGCAAUGCUGCAGCCAGCAAUUACAUGGGUGCAGCCUCCUUGAGGAAAAUGGCAAAGUCCACACCUUGCAGUUUCAUACCCUUUCUGGAGUACCACGUAACUCACAAGCAGCUCAAAUAUGCCAUGUCUGAGCAGAAAGACUGCAAGGAUGCUGGAUGAUGUGAAUCCUAGCUGGGAGAAGGGUGAGCCAGUUGUUGGGCUGGCCUUGCUGAACUGGCCUUGGAUCCAGCUGUGCUCCUGGCCUCCCUCACUCCUGAGAUGCUGCUGCUGUCUCCCCACUCCAGCCUACUCCUGGCACCCCUCUACUCUGACAUAGCAGGUGCUAGCAGAGAUGCUACAACACACAGACAUUUCAAAAAUGUAAAAGUACCUUCUUGCUGAGCUGAGCCAUUGAGAAACAGGUACCUGCUCCCCGAUUUCUCCUGCCAAUAACCAGAUUCCGGUCUCCAAUGCCCAACAUCUCUGAAUUUCAAGCUCUUCCUAGACCCUCUGCCACUGCCUGACUCUCUUCAACUGUGCAGAGCCCUGUGUAGCUCCCAUGUGUUGGCGAUUGGGGAUUAUUUUGGAUCAAGGACUAAUGUUGAAAAAGAGAGAGGUUAUAAGCAUAAAUUAAGAUUAUAAUAUGCGUAGUGCUCAUCUUUGAUAGCCUAGGCCAUUAAGAACUUGGUCUUAAGGUAUGACACUGCAUCUAAGGCUAGAAUGAACUGCAGGAUUGUCCAGCCCAAAAUCCUGUAAUAACUUGACCUUUUCGGCACCACAUGCCCUUCAGCUUGAAAACGUUAUCCAGUUCUUGUUCUGUGAACAGGCUGGUUGCUUAGAGCUGGGAGAUCAAAAUUUUUCAUCUCCUCAGAGUCAUCAACUCUGAUUAUAUUUGAAAUAUUUUCUAUAGUUUUAGAGAUAUGUGGGUGAGAAUCAUAGGAUCUACCAAAAAAUGCCUUUGGCCUGAUGGUUGCAUGGAACAGUUUGAAAAUGCUAUAAACCUGAACCAUAGGGAUGAAGACCCACUAGGCAAGGAAGAAACACCCAAACAUAUUACUGAAAUAAAAACUCAUGAUGUGACUUGAAUGUCAUGAUUUUUGAAUGCUUAGAGUUAUCAGUAUUUCAUUUUAACAAUUAACUUCUUCCUACCAUCAAGAUGUUAAGGAAAUCUAAUUCUAACACAUUUUCUAAUUUACUAGGCCACUUUUGUAAUAUUUAUAUAAUCCUGAAGUAAGGAUUUCUAAUGUUGGAUAAUGCCAGAAACAUCAAUCAAAUUACCCCUGAUUCUUACAAAAAAUUACCUUUAUUCCAAAUGACUUAUUUUGAUCCUAAUAUGCUUAAUAUUAUGGAAGCACCCAGAGGCCUCAGUCAGAAUGUGCGACUCACAGAGUUGUAAAAAUAGCUAUAAAGACAUGGUAGCACUUAUCAGACAAAAUCUGUUCUGCCCUUUGCAGAUGAGACAUAUCCCAUCUGGCUCUCAGUAAAGCGGAAAGGCAUACAUGUUUCCAACUAGUAGAAGGAAGGCAAGAGGCUUUCAGUGUGAAAAGCUUGCUAAAAAUGCCGAAAUUGGACGGGAAGAGACAAAAGCCAAAAUCGCAUCAUUCUUCCUUUCCUUUCAUUCUGCAGGAAAUACAUAGAUACACUCGUGUACAUACAUAUGCAGAGGCAUAUAUACGUAUGCAUAAUUGAUUUUGCAAAAGAACAGAAUGGAAAAUGUACCAUUGCCAGUCUCUAAAUCCCAUUCCUUAUUUUCUAAACUUCCAGAGAAGGGAGAUUUGGGUCCCAACAUGAUCAGGGUUCCAUGUGUGAAAGAAAAAGAGAGGUUCAGUGUUGUAACAGAGGAAAGCAGAUCAUGUGCAGAGCCUGAACAGUCCUACUAGAGCUCUCCAGUGUAACGGUAAGACAUUAUGGAGGAACAGUUUCUACCUUUCAGAAGUGAGAGCAAUAUUAUGUAAACCCAGCCAAGUCUCUCACAUCCUGCAUGAGUUUCGCUUGAAUGUUUUUCCCAUCUACUUCUCCCCAAGGGCAUGUGCAUUUCACAUCCUGCCAACUGCAUGUUGCAGAAUCUCUGCUGCUCCAUGACUCCACAUGCAGACCCAGCUGUUCAGCCUGAUUCGAAAUUCACAAACUGGUUGUGUCUAGCACAUGGGUGCUAGAGUGGGAAGGAGGCUGCAGCACUAUGGAGUGUGUACCUUUUAUUGGUGUCUUGUGUGGAGAGAAUCAUACCCAGAAAGCAGAUGGGUGCCGUAGCUUUGCCUUUACCACCUGAACUGCACAUCUUUUUUGUGACCCUGUCUGCAGGCACAUCCCUGUCAAAUGAGCUGGUUGGCCCCUGUGGUGCCUCAUGGACUGGUGACAAAGAAUUUGAAGAUCCAUACUACUGUAUAAUAAACUAGCUAAGAAACUAAUUAAAGUGUUGCAGAGGCUGGAAAGUAAAGAAAUAAAGCAUUCAAGUAGAUGUAGUUAGCUUAAAGGCAUAAGACAUGUGGAAAAUACCACUGUGCAAAUACUUAAUGAUCAAUAAUAUUUUAGUUGUAAGGGCUAACCAUAUAGAGCUAUUGAUCAUUGUUUAGAAUUAUAAAAUCCUGCACUUUACAAUAAUGACCUCCAGUGAUUCUGAAAAAGUGCCGGUUCUGUUCUAGCUAGGACAGUAAAGGGUGGUCUUCAUCUGACAAAGUACAACGCCCAAGCUAAGUUCUCCCCUCUGUUUGUGGGGAGAGACUGGCACUUCUAGAGCACUUCUAAUGCAUCCUAAAGCAGGUCAGUAGGUAAAUAGGUUAGAUGAAGCAUAUGCUUCAAAAUGCUUCCCUUGAUUAUAAAGGAAGUCUUAAGUGACCAGCUCAGAGGAAGGUGUCUCUCUGAUAGCUAUCCAAAGCUGGGUGAAGUGAAUUCCACCCUUGAUGCCUUGCCCAAGCAAGGCUGCUAGCUGUGUGCACAGAGCACAGAAAGACCACCUCUCCACUGUGAAAGACAUGGUUGAACCAGAUGGGGCACACACAACAGGGGAUGUGUGAAGGAGAAACUGCAGUCAUAUCAUGUGAGAGUGCCUUACUUCCCUCCUGUUUUUCACACACAGGUGAUAAUGUGGCCACUCAGCUGUGCCAGGCACACCUGCCAAAAAAAUAUAAAACACAGUGAUGCUGUACUAAGAAUAUGAGUUGUCCAUGCUGCAGUGGGAAUACAGAGCCAGCUCCUCACCCCUUUAACCUCCUCACUAAAUCUGUACUUGCAGAAAUAAGAUUUUUUUUAGAACAAAAUUUAUGUCUGAGAUAUUUACUGUGGAACAACCAUAUCCAAUCCAUCAACUACAAUACCAGUUCACAGAGACACUGCAGUAAAGGAAAUGCAGGAAAACCUAUGUAAUUAACUGCAGAAGGAGUAAAAACAGGCAGAUGCUAUUUAUAGAAACUGCAGUUUGAGAGGACACGAAAGUUAGUAUCCUUACUGCAGCACCGCCAACUCUUCCUAUUUUAUGGUGAGUCUCUCACAAUAUUUGCUGCUGUUCUUAAAACUGCAUAUCCUCAUAUAAUGGGAUCUUAUAAGAAUCUUAGCUCACUAAGGCAAGAAAUCUUCAUGACUGGAAAAAAACCUGAAUCUGUGAACUCUAAAAGCAGAAAAUAAAUAAAUUCAAUGUAUGUUUGUUAAAGCACUGUGAUUUUUAAAGCAGUUCUGAGUUUUUUAAUCUUGGUAUUUUUUAACAGCAAUGGCUUGGUAAUGAUUCUACACAUAUAGAAGCAUAGGAUUUCCUGUAUGCAUGGAGGCAAAACUGCAGUUUUAUGUCUCUUUGAAAAGAAAAUACCGUUGCAGGAUAUUGUUCCUGAAUGCCAAGUUAAGGUAGCAGUGGUUCAAAUUAAAAGAUCUUAAUAACCCAUCACAGUUAUAUUUUCCUAUAUCUAGGUUUCUUGAAAAUUUUCCCCAAAAGACCAAUUAGAGUUGCUUGAAUGAGUUUUUACAAAUAGUUUGUCUGAGGAAAGCUAUGCCUUUGCUUGAGAUUUAACGAAGGAAAGUUGGGGACUCUUCUGCUGUUUGUUCAUUAUUCAGUAUUGCUUGAAGAGAAAGUUGUGCAAACCAAUAUUACCACGUGGUUUGUUUGCUGACUGGUCACUAUGGUCAGGUUCCCUGUUGGAUUGUGUGACCAGACAGGUUAAAAAAAGACUUCUAUUCAGUUCAGAUGCUGGGUACACAGAUAAAAGAGGUGUUUACAGGCUCUUUUCCGUCCUGGGAAGACUAAGGCAGUCCUAAGUCUUCCACAUGUCUAAGCUAGCACUGAUUUAUUGUCUCCUGCCCUAGCAUUGGCUCAGAAUGGUCAGACUUAGUACUAAAUGGUGUAAAUGGACUGUAAAAAACAAGAUUUGAAAAGAAAGAGAAGAAAAAACCCAAUAGCCAAAGAGUCAAAGGGUGACUUUCCUGCCUUUGGGGAACUCAUCUGUCAGUAGAACUGAUCAGAAAAAAAUCUGCUUUCACUGAGCCGAACAUCUUUGGCUGAAACUUAAUGAGUUUGAAGAACUUUCACUGAAUAUAAAGCAGCAUUCUCUGGGUUGCCUGUUGGGUUUGUCAUGAGGCUCAUGAUACUGUUUAUGAAGAGGUUUGACCCUUGAAGAGUCUGUUCUUCCACUUGCCCUGGAGGCAAGGGUGCUGUACUUGCUGAGAUCCCCAUCUCAGCAGCACUCAUAUCUGGUAGCUGGGGCCCAUCUAGCUGCUCAGUCAGCUUGACAAGCUUGUUAAAUUGCUUGCUCAUAUUAGCAGAGAAGCCAUCAAGUUCAGGAUUUCAGGAAUUGCUGUUUGCAAAAUAUUUAAAGAAAAAAAGGAUUUGGGACCAAUUCAGACUACCUGCAAAUUAAAAAAGUGGGAAUUCCUUGUGAUACGGAAACCCAAGCUCCUGACAAGCACUACUUUUAACACCAGUGCUCAAAUUCAGUGUUCAAUGCUGAAAUCCAACCAAAUAGUUGUUUGCUAGGCCCUUAAAACUUCUAAGCACUGAUUUCUAAAAGACUGCAUGCAUUAAAAACACUGUUGAUAUAUGUCAACCUUAUUGUCUGUGUUUGUAUUAUGCACAACUGAUUGUACGUAAUAAGUCAUGCUUUUGGCCCACUAAAGCUGAUGGGCUUCAGUGGGGUCCUGCUUUUAAUAUGAGUACCUAAUCAAGUGUUUCUGCAGUGCUAAGUAGGUGUGGUCUAGCUUCUACUGAAGUCAGUUAAAAAGAUCUCAUGAAAUGAAUUUCCAAUGGUUUAAAAACUGAUAAAGACUCAGAGGUGCUCAUUAUUUGUUUGUUCUGGUGUAAUAGUGAAAUGGAUAUUCUGCAGAGAUAGGGCUUCAUCUUACUGUGCUGCAGGCCUCUCUGCUGUGAAGCAAGCAAUAGCUUGUCAAAGGUGCAUGCAAAUGGCGUAUUUACAAGUAUCAGGUACAGCUAGGUACAAAUGAGGAAUGUACAUCACACCUUCACAGAAGCAGCUGAAAGUCCUACAAGAUGACUUCUAAUUCAGCCUUCCCUAACACAGUAAAUGGAAGCUUGUACAUCAAAGAUUGUAUAUUAAAAAUGGGAGGAGAGGCUUCUUAUAAUUGACUAGCUUUUCCCAGGUUUGAAAAACCAAAACGUCAGUGCUGGCAUUCUUCUGAUCUGGAAGUAACUCUCAGUAGUAGAAAAAAGGGUAGUUUGUUUUUCCCUGUCAUCCAGAGAAUGGGAAACAUGCAAACUGGCUCCUCACAAAGAGUGGUGCUUCUGUGGUGCUGUGCUGUGUAGGCUUACUUGCUUUGGAAGUUGCUACUUUUGCUUUGUCAGCAGCAUCGCUGAUCCAUGUAUCUUUCCUUACUCCAGUCUUCCCUCAUUGCAUGUCCUGCUGGCCUGAUUUAAACAGGUUUUUACUAUCUGUCACACUGUGUCUAUCAUAUAGUAUAUAGACAUAUAAUACUGUGUACAUUAAUAUUGAAAUCUGAGAGAAUUCAGUAGAGCAUUGGUUGGCUCUAUUAAAUCAAUCACUUUCAUUAAUCCACAGCAAUAAUUUCAGGACUAAUAUCCCAUACUGGAACUGAAGCUCCAGUAUUCCUUGCAGGAGAAGCACUGGACCUGAGAUAACUAUUGUUUUAAAUAAAUAAUAUGUGGGAAACCAAAAGGAAUGUGAGUGAAAGGGUGGUGUUUCAACAGCAGUUAGAAGAAAUCUGAGGAGCAGCCAGCAUAAUAAAUUUAAAGGGUGGAGGAGAAUUGCAAUGGCAACAUAAUGUUUUGAUCAAAAUAAAGUACUUUUCACAUGUAAUGGAACACCAGCCCAUGAAUUUUUAAGACCCAUGUAUUCAACAAGAACAGGAUACCUUUCAAUUUUACAGGCUAAUACAUCUUCAUAUUAAGAAAGGAUAUAUCUUAUAAUUCUCUUUCAACAAAAUACCAU